RNAcentral lists this ribosomal RNA (252 nucleotides) under uncultured bacterium. RNAcentral describes it as "partial 16S ribosomal RNA". It matches the Rfam family "Bacterial small subunit ribosomal RNA", at positions 524 to 776 of the family's 1533-position model. The record is from RNAcentral.
UACGUAGGUCCCGAGCGUUGUCCGGAUUUAUUGGGCGUAAAGCGAGCGCAGGUGGUUUAUCAAGUCUGGUGUAAAAGGCAGUGGCUCAACCAUUGUAUGCAUUGGAAACUGGUAGACUUGAGUGCAGGAGAGGAGGGUGGAAUUCCAUGUGUAGCGGUGAAAUGCGUAGAUAUAUGGAGGAACACCGGUGGCGAAAGCGGCUCUCUGGCCUGUAACUGACACUGAGGCUCGAAAGCGUGGGGAGCAAACAGG